CGCACGGUGGAUGCCUUGGCACUAGGAGCCGAAGAAGGACGGGACUAACACCGAUAUGCUUUGGGGAGCUGUACGUAAGCGUUGAUCCAGAGAUUUCCGAAUGGGGGAACCCACUAUCUUUAGUCGGAUAGUAUCCUUACGUGAAUACAUAGCGUGAGGAAGGCAGACCCAGGGAACUGAAACAUCUAAGUACCUGGAGGAAGAGAAAGAAAAAUCGAUUUCCUGAGUAGCGGCGAGCGAAACGGAAAGAGCCCAAACCAAGAAGCUUGCUUCUUGGGGUUGUAGGACACUCUAUACGGAGUUACAAAAGAAAGUUAUAAAUGAAGCGGUCUGGAAAGGCCCGCCAAAGACGGUAACAGCCCGGUAGUUGAAAUGGCUUUCCCUCCAGAGUGGAUCCUGAGUACGGCGGAACACGUGAAAUUCCGUCGGAAUCCGGGAGGACCAUCUCCCAAGGCUAAAUACUCCCUAGUGACCGAUAGUGAACCAGUACCGUGAGGGAAAGGUGAAAAGCACCCCGGAAGGGGAGUGAAACAGUUCCUGAAACCGUGUGCCUACAAGUAGUUAGAGCCCGUUAAUGGGUGAUAGCGUGCCUUUUGUAGAAUGAACCGGCGAGUUACGAUUUGUUGCAAGGUUAAGCGGAAAAAGCGGAGCCGUAGCGAAAGCGAGUCUGAAUAGGGCGCAUAAGUAACAGGUCGUAGACCCGAAACCAGGUGAUCUACCCAUGUCCAGGAUGAAGGUAAGGUAAUACUUACUGGAGGUCCGAACCCACGCACGUUGAAAAGUGCGGGGAUGAGGUGUGGGUAGCGGAGAAAUUCCAAUCGAACUUGGAGAUAGCUGGUUCUCUCCGAAAUAGCUUUAGGGCUAGCCUCGAGGUAAAGAGUCAUGGAGGUAGAGCACUGUUUGGACUAGGGGCCCUUCUCGGGUUACCGAAUUCAGAUAAACUCCGAAUGCCAUGUACUUAUACUCGGGAGUCAGACUGCGAGUGAUAAGAUCCGUAGUCGAAAGGGAAACAGCCCAGACCACCAGUUAAGGUCCCCAAAUAUAU
Molecule: ribosomal RNA, 1045 nt
Filed under: Listeria monocytogenes
Lineage: Bacteria; Bacillati; Bacillota; Bacilli; Caryophanales; Listeriaceae
Description: partial 23S ribosomal RNA
Rfam family: Bacterial large subunit ribosomal RNA
Source: RNAcentral